GGGGAUAUGGUGGAACUGGUAGACGCACUGGACUCAAAAUCCAGAGAGCUUUGCUCGUGAGGGUUCAAGUCCCUCUAUCCCUACCA
RNAcentral lists this transfer RNA (86 nucleotides) under Erysipelothrix sp. RNAcentral's name for it is "tRNA-Leu". It matches the Rfam family "tRNA". From Rfam's summary of the family: Transfer RNA (tRNA) molecules are approximately 80 nucleotides in length. Their secondary structure includes four short double-helical elements and three loops (D, anti-codon, and T loops). The record is from RNAcentral. Lineage: Bacteria; Bacillati; Bacillota; Erysipelotrichia; Erysipelotrichales; Erysipelotrichaceae.